GACGAACGCUGGCGGCGUGCUUAACACAUGCAAGUCGAACGGAAAGGCCCUGCUUUUGUGGGGUGCUCGAGUGGCGAACGGGUGAGUAACACGUGAGUAACCUGCCCUUGACUUUGGGAUAACUUCAGGAAACUGGGGCUAAUACCGGAUAGGAGCUCCUGCUGCAUGGUGGGGGUUGGAAAGUUUCGGCGGUUGGGGAUGGACUCGCGGCUUAUCAGCUUGUUGGUGGGGUAGUGGCUUACCAAGGCUUUGACGGGUAGCCGGCCUGAGAGGGUGACCGGCCACAUUGGGACUGAGAUACGGCCCAGACUCCUACGGGAGGCAGCAGUGGGGAAUAUUUCACAAUGGGCGGAAGCCUGAUGCAGCAACGCCGCGUGCGGGAUGACGGCCUUCGGGUUGGAAACCGCUUUCGCCUGUGACGAAGCGUGAGUGACGGUAAUGGGUAAAGAAGCACCGGCUAACUACGUG
RNAcentral lists this ribosomal RNA (468 nucleotides) under uncultured bacterium. RNAcentral describes it as "partial 16S ribosomal RNA". It matches the Rfam family "Bacterial small subunit ribosomal RNA", at positions 28 to 507 of the family's 1533-position model. The record is from RNAcentral.